UUUUCAGAAUCUUCAUCGUCUCUUUUUCGUUCUUGACAAAUCUAAAUCUCAAUUUUGUAAAUUGUAAACUCUUUUCAAUUCGAUCUAAAAGUUUUCGUCUAUCCAAUCAUACAAAAACCAAUUUUUCUCUUGGGUCACAUGCAUAAUAAAAUAUUCGUUUUCGAUGUGGUUACCGUGAACUCGUCUCAUAUACCAUCCACCGCCGC
This 206-nucleotide long non-coding RNA is filed under the name Brassica napus (rape). Its description in RNAcentral is "long non-coding RNA (BNAP_LNC014751)". The record is from RNAcentral. Lineage: Eukaryota; Viridiplantae; Streptophyta; Magnoliopsida; Brassicales; Brassicaceae.